GGGUUGUGAGGUUAAGCGACUAAGCGUACACGGUGGAUGCCCUGGCAGUCAGAGGCGAUGAAGGACGUGCUAAUCUGCGAAAAGCGUCGGUAAGGUGAUAUGAACCGUUAUAACCGGCGAUGUCCGAAUGGGGAAACCCAGUGCAAUUCGUUGCACUAUCGUUAACUGAAUACAUAGGUUAACGAGGCGAACCGGGGGAACUGAAACAUCUAAGUACCCCGAGGAAAAGAAAUCAACCGAGAUUCCCCCAGUAGCGGCGAGCGAACGGGGAGCAGCCCAGAGUCUGAAUCAGCUUGUGUGUUAGUGGAACGGUCUGGAAAGUCCGACGGUACAGGGUGAUAGUCCCGUACACCAAAAUGCACAGGCUGUGAACUCGAAGAGUAGGGCGGGACACGUGGUAUCCUGUCUGAAUAUGGGGGGACCAUCCUCCAAGGCUAAAUACUCCUGACUGACCGAUAGUGAACCAGUACCGUGAGGGAAAGGCGAAAAGAACCCCGGCGAGGGGAGUGAAAAAGAACCUGAAACCGUGUACGUACAAGCAGUGGGAGCACCUUCGGGUGUGACUGCGUACCUUUUGUAUAAUGGGUCAGCGACUUAUAUUCUGUAGCAAGGUUAACCGUAUAGGGGAGCCGCAGGGAAACCGAGUCUUAACUGGGCGUUAAGUUGCAGGGUAUAGACCCGAAACCCGGUGAUCUAGCCAUGGGCAGGUUGAAGGUUGGGUAACACUAACUGGAGGACCGAACCGACUAAUGUUGAAAAAUUAGCGGAUGACUUGUGGCUGGGGGUGAAAGGCCAAUCAAACCGGGAGAUAGCUGGUUCUCCCCGAAAGCUAUUUAGGUAGCGCCUCGUGAAUUCAUCUUCGGGGGUAGAGCACUGUUUCGGCUAGGGGGUCAUCCCGACUUACCAACCCGAUGCAAACUACGAAUACCGAAGAAUGUUAUCACGGGAGACACACGGCGGGUGCUAACGUCCGUCGUGAAGAGGGGAAACAACCCAGACCGCCAGCUAAGGUCCCAAAGUCAUGGUUAAGUGGGAAACGAUGUGGGAAGGCACAGACAGCCAGGAUGUUGGCUUAGAAGCAGCCAUCAUUUAAAGAAAGCGUAAUAGCUCACUGGUCGAGUCGGCCUGCGCGGAAGAUGUAACGGGGCUAAACCAUGCACCGAAGCUGCGGCAGCGACACUAUGUGUUGUUGGGUAGGGGAGCGUUCUGUAAGCCUGCGAAGGUGACCUGUGAGGGUUGCUGGAGGUAUCAGAAGUGCGAAUGCUGACAUAAGUAACGAUAAAGCGGGUGAAAAGCCCGCUCGCCGGAAGACCAAGGGUUCCUGUCCAACGUUAAUCGGGGCAGGGUGAGUCGACCCCUAAGGCGAGGCCGAAAGGCGUAGUCGAUGGGAAACAGGUUAAUAUUCCUGUACUUGGUGUUACUGCGAAGGGGGGACGGAGAAGGCUAUGUUAGCCGGGCGACGGUUGUCCCGGUUUAAGCAUGUAGGCUGGUUAUCCAGGCAAAUCCGGAUAAUCAAGGCUGAGGUGUGAUGACGAGGCACUACGGUGCUGAAGUAACAAAUGCCCUGCUUCCAGGAAAAGCCUCUAAGCAUCAGGUAACAUCAAAUCGUACCCCAAACCGACACAGGUGGUCAGGUAGAGAAUACCAAGGCGCUUGAGAGAACUCGGGUGAAGGAACUAGGCAAAAUGGUGCCGUAACUUCGGGAGAAGGCACGCUGGUGUGUAGGUGAAGUCCCUGCGGAUGGAGCUGAGACCAGUCGAAGAUACCAGCUGGCUGCAACUGUUUAUUAAAAACACAGCACUGUGCAAACACGAAAGUGGACGUAUACGGUGUGACGCCUGCCCGGUGCCGGAAGGUUAAUUGAUGGGGUUAUCCGUAAGGAGAAGCUCUUGAUCGAAGCCCCGGUAAACGGCGGCCGUAACUAUAACGGUCCUAAGGUAGCGAAAUUCCUUGUCGGGUAAGUUCCGACCUGCACGAAUGGCGUAAUGAUGGCCAGGCUGUCUCCACCCGAGACUCAGUGAAAUUGAACUCGCUGUGAAGAUGCAGUGUACCCGCGGCAAGACGGAAAGACCCCGUGAACCUUUACUAUAGCUUGACACUGAACAUUGAGCCUUGAUGUGUAGGAUAGGUGGGAGGCUUUGAAGCGUGGACGCCAGUCUGCGUGGAGCCAACCUUGAAAUACCACCCUUUAAUGUUUGAUGUUCUAACGUUGGCCCCUUACCGGGGUUGCGGACAGUGUCUGGUGGGUAGUUUGACUGGGGCGGUCUCCUCCCAAAGCGUAACGGAGGAGCACGAAGGUUAGCUAAUCCUGGUCGGACAUCAGGAGGUUAGUGCAAUGGCAUAAGCUAGCUUGACUGCGAGCGUGACGGCGCGAGCAGGUGCGAAAGCAGGUCAUAGUGAUCCGGUGGUUCUGAAUGGAAGGGCCAUCGCUCAACGGAUAAAAGGUACUCCGGGGAUAACAGGCUGAUACCGCCCAAGAGUUCAUAUCGACGGCGGUGUUUGGCACCUCGAUGUCGGCUCAUCACAUCCUGGGGCUGAAGUAGGUCCCAAGGGUAUGGCUGUUCGCCAUUUAAAGUGGUACGCGAGCUGGGUUUAGAACGUCGUGAGACAGUUCGGUCCCUAUCUGCCGUGGGCGCUGGAGAAUUGAGGGGGGCUGCUCCUAGUACGAGAGGACCGGAGUGGACGCAUCACUGGUGUUCGGGUUGUCAUGCCAAUGGCACUGCCCGGUAGCUAAAUGCGGAAGAGAUAAGUGCUGAAAGCAUCUAAGCACGAAACUUGCCCCGAGAUGAGUUCUCCCUGAGACUUUAAGUCUCCUGAAGGAACGUUGAAGACGACGACGUUGAUAGGCCGGGUGUGUAAGCGCAGCGAUGCGUUGAGCUAACCGGUACUAAUGAACCGUGAGGCUUAACCUUACAACGCCGAAG
This 2924-nucleotide ribosomal RNA is filed under the name Klebsiella pneumoniae. RNAcentral describes it as "bacterial LSU rRNA". It matches the Rfam family "Bacterial large subunit ribosomal RNA". The record is from RNAcentral. Lineage: Bacteria; Pseudomonadati; Pseudomonadota; Gammaproteobacteria; Enterobacterales; Enterobacteriaceae.